Molecule: ribosomal RNA, 492 nt
Filed under: uncultured bacterium
Lineage: Bacteria
Description: partial 16S ribosomal RNA
Rfam family: Bacterial small subunit ribosomal RNA
Source: RNAcentral
AGUGAACGCUGGCGGUAGGCCUAACACAUGCAAGUCGAACGGCAGCACAGUAAGAGCUUGCUCUUACGGGUGGCGAGUGGCGGACGGGUGCGGAAUACAUCGGAAUCUACUUUUUCGUGGGGGAUAACGUAGGGAAACUUACGCUAAUACCGCAUACGACCUACGGGUGAAAGCAGGGGAUCUUCGGACCUUGCGCGACUGAAUGAGCCGAUGUCGGAUUAGCUAGUUGGCGGGGUAAAGGCCCACCAAGGCGACGAUCCGUAGCUGGUCUGAGAGGAUGAUCAGCCACACUGGAACUGAGACACGGUCCAGACUCCUACGGGAGGCAGCAGUGGAGAAUAUUGGACAAUGGGCGCAAGCCUGAUCCAGCCAUACCGCGUGGGUGAAGAAGGCCUUCGGGUUUUAAAGCCCUUUUGUUGGGAAAGAAAAGCAGCAGGUUAAUACCCCGCUGUUCUGACGGUACCCAAAGAAUAAGCACCGGCUAACUUCGUG